Molecule: ribosomal RNA, 465 nt
Filed under: uncultured bacterium
Lineage: Bacteria
Description: partial 16S ribosomal RNA
Rfam family: Bacterial small subunit ribosomal RNA
Source: RNAcentral
AUGAACGCUGGCGGCGUGCUUAACACAUGCAAGUCGAACGGAAAGCCCAGUGCUUGCAUUGGUACUCGAGUGGCGAACGGGGGGGAAACCCGUGGGUGAUCGGCCCUUUACUUCGGGUUAAGCUUGGGAAACGGGGUCUAAUACCGGAUAGGACAACUUUUUGGUUUUUGUGGUGGAAAGCUUUUGCGGUAUGGGAUGAGCUCGCGGCCUAUCAGCUUGUUGGUGGGGUAAUGGCCUACGAGGGCGUCGCCGGGUGGCCGGCCUGAGAGGGUGUACGGCCACAUUGGGACUGAGAUACGGCCCAGACUCCUACGGGAGGCAGCAGUGGGGAAUAUUGCACAAUGGGCGCAAGCCUGAUGCAGCGACGCCGCGUGGGGGAUGAAGGCCUUCGGGUUGUAAACUCCUUUCGCUAGGGACGAAGCGCAAGUGACGGUACCUGGAGAAGAAGCACCGGCUAACUACGUG